UGAGGUAGUAGAUUGUAUAGUUGUGAGGUUGUACACCUCCUCUGAGAUAACUAUGCAAUCUACUGUCUUUC
RNAcentral lists this microRNA precursor (71 nucleotides) under Callorhinchus milii (elephant shark). RNAcentral describes it as "Cmi-Let-7-P2a4_pre stem-loop". It matches the Rfam family "let-7 microRNA precursor family", at positions 7 to 78 of the family's 84-position model. Rfam says of the family: This family represents the microRNAs (miRNA) let-7 and mir-98. let-7 was identified from a study of developmental timing in C. elegans, and was later shown to be part of a much larger class of non-coding RNAs termed miRNAs. The extents of the hairpin precursors are not generally known and are estimated based on hairpin prediction. Lineage: Eukaryota; Metazoa; Chordata; Chondrichthyes; Chimaeriformes; Callorhinchidae. The record is from RNAcentral.